GACGAACGCUGGCGGCGUGCCUAAUACAUGCAAGUCGAGCGAAUCGAUGGGAGCUUGCUCCCUGAGAUUAGCGGCGGACGGGUGAGUAACACGUGGGCAACCUGCCUAUAAGACUGGGAUAACUUCGGGAAACCGGAGCUAACACCGGAUACGUUCUUUUCUCGCAUGAGAGAAGAUGGAAAGACGGUUUACGCUGUCACUUAUAGAUGGGCCCGCGGCGCAUUAGCUAGUUGGUGAGGUAAUGGCUCACCAAGGCGACGAUGCGUAGCCGACCUGAGAGGGUGAUCGGCCACACUGGAACUGAGACACGGCCCAG
RNAcentral lists this ribosomal RNA (316 nucleotides) under uncultured Bacillus sp. RNAcentral's name for it is "bacterial SSU rRNA". It matches the Rfam family "Bacterial small subunit ribosomal RNA", at positions 28 to 334 of the family's 1533-position model. The record is from RNAcentral. Lineage: Bacteria; Bacillati; Bacillota; Bacilli; Caryophanales; Bacillaceae.